GGCUGAUUUCGUGGGGAGCAAGGGGGGAGGAGAUUUCCGCGAAAACUUGACCAAUCUUCGUGCAGUUCGUCCCUACUUCUAGGUAUCGAGGUUCGCAAUUUUCAUGCCCAACUUCUACUCACGAAGGCGAUGGAGAUCCUUCCGCCGAGGCAUAGCUACUCGAGUUGGAGAUCGAGUUGUAAGCGGUGGAGUAGAGGUAUGAGAAGCAGCUUUGCUUCUCUUCUUGUGGAUUAUGUUGGAGUCUCUUUUACUUUAUGAGAACUCUGUUAUUAAAGUCUUGCUUCCGCCACUGUUAAAGUGCGCAUGUUUAUUCUGAACCUUACUUAUGGUAUUGUAAACUAUUAUUACUGUAUAUCGGGAAACAAGUUAUCUAAAUAAAGUUAUGGUAUGUU
Lotus japonicus is the source of this 392-nucleotide long non-coding RNA. RefSeq lists it as uncharacterized. The transcript is spliced from 3 exons. Lineage: Eukaryota; Viridiplantae; Streptophyta; Magnoliopsida; Fabales; Fabaceae. The record is from RefSeq and is a predicted model, not a curated record.